UAUGUGCACUGAGCGCUGAGUGAGCUGAGCCACCAUGAGGACAGCAGCCACGGUUUGCUGCUCUGCGUGAGCCACAAUGGGGAGGUGGGAGGGCCAUGUCUCGAAAUGCUGGGAGCAGAAAGAACUGAUGAAGGAGUGUGCAGAAUCUCUGACUGUGCUCAUCAGAGCCCAGAGUCCCCAGGAGCUCCCCUGAAUCCUCACUGCUACCAGCCCACUUAGGCAGGGGCCCACAAGCCA
RNAcentral lists this long non-coding RNA (237 nucleotides) under Homo sapiens (human). RNAcentral's name for it is "non-protein coding lnc-SLC30A3-1:1". Lineage: Eukaryota; Metazoa; Chordata; Mammalia; Primates; Hominidae. The record is from RNAcentral.